Molecule: ribosomal RNA, 468 nt
Filed under: uncultured bacterium
Lineage: Bacteria
Description: partial 16S ribosomal RNA
Rfam family: Bacterial small subunit ribosomal RNA
Source: RNAcentral
GACGAACGCUGGCGGCGUGCUUAACACAUGCAAGUCGAACGGAAAGGCCCUGCUUUUGUGGGGUGCUCGAGUGGCGAACGGGUGAGUAACACGUGAGUAACCUGCCCUUGACUUUGGGAUAACUUCAGGAAACUGGGGCUAAUACCGGAUAGGAGCUCCUGCUGCAUGGUGGGGGUUGGAAAGUUUCGGCGGUUGGGGAUGGACUCGCGGCUUAUCAGCUUGUUGGUGGGGUAGUGGCUUACCAAGGCGUUGACGGGUAGCCGGCCUGAGAGGGUGACCGGCCACAAUGGGACUGAGAUACGGCCCAGACUCCUACGGGAGGCAGCAGUGGGGAAUAUUGCACAGUGGGCGGAAGCCUGAUGCAGCGACGCCGCGUGAGGGAUGACGGCCUUCGGGUUGUAAACCUCUUUCAGCAGGGAAGAAGCGAAAGUGACGGUACUUGGAGAAGAAGCGCCGGCUAACUACGUG